Molecule: ribosomal RNA, 732 nt
Filed under: uncultured Leptotrichia sp.
Lineage: Bacteria; Fusobacteriati; Fusobacteriota; Fusobacteriia; Fusobacteriales; Leptotrichiaceae
Description: bacterial SSU rRNA
Rfam family: Bacterial small subunit ribosomal RNA
Source: RNAcentral
GAUGAACGCUGACAGAAUGCUUAACACAUGCAAGUCAAUGGGGAAACGGUGCUUGCACCGUGAUAACCAUGGCGGACGGGUGAGUAACGCGUAAAGAACUUGCCUCUUAGUCUGGGAUAACAGAUGGAAACGACUGAUAAAACUAGAUAUUAUUAAAGUUUCGCAUGAAGCUUUAAUGAAAAGAGAUGCUAAGAGAGAGCUUUGCGUCCUAUUAGUUAGUUGGUGAGGUAACGGCUCACCAAGACGAAGAUAGGUAGCCGGUCUGAGAGGAUGAACGGCCACAAGGGGACUGAGAUACGGCCCUUACUCUUACGGGAGGCAGCAGUGGGGAAUAUUGGACAAUGGAGGAGACUCUGAUCCAGCAAUUCUGUGUGCACGAAGACGGUUUUCGGAUUGUAAAGUGCUUUCAGCAGGGAAGAAGAAAGUGACGGUACCUGCAGAAGAAGCGACGGCUAAAUACGUGCCAGCAGCCGCGGUAAUACGUAUGUCGCGAGCGUUAUCCGGAAUUAUUGGGCAUAAAGGGCAUCUAGGCGGAUAUACAAGUCAGGGGUGAAAACUUAGGGCUCAACUCAAAGCUUGCCUUUGAAACUGUAUAUCUAGAGUGCUGGGGAGGUGGACGGAACUACACGAGUAGAGGUGAAAUUCGUAGAUAUGUGUAGGAAUGCCGAUGAUGAAGAUAGUCCACUGGACAGCAACUGACGCUGAAGUGCGAAAGCUAGGGGAGCAAACAGG